GAUGAAGAACGCAGUAAAAUGCGAUAAUUAAUGUGAAUUGCAGAAUUCAGUGAAUCAUCGAGUCUUUGAACGCACAUUGCGCCCCCUGGUAUUCCGGGGGGCAUGCCUGUCCGAGCGUCAUUGCUGCCCUCAAGCACGGCUUGUGUGUUGGGCUUCCGUCCCUGGCAACGGGGACGGGCCCAAAAGGCAGUGGCGGCACCAUGUCUGGUCCUCGAGCGUAUGGGGCUUUGUCACCCGCUCCCGUAGGUCCAGCUGGCAGCUAGCCUCGCAACCAAUCUUUUUAACCAGGUUGACCUCGGAUCAGGUAGGGAUACCCGCUGAACUUAAGCAUAUCAAUAAGCGGAGGA
RNAcentral lists this unclassified non-coding RNA (347 nucleotides) under soil metagenome. RNAcentral's name for it is "partial contains 5.8S ribosomal RNA, internal transcribed spacer 2, and large subunit ribosomal RNA". The stretch from base 1 to 120 matches the Rfam family "5.8S ribosomal RNA", at positions 35 to 154 of the family's 154-position model. The record is from RNAcentral.